AGGGGUCCCGCAUGGGAAUAUUUGUUAAAGAUUCAUCGCUGAUAGAUAGGCAUGCGUUCCAUUAGGCAGUUGGCGGGGUAACGGCCCACCAAACCGACGAUGGAUAGGGGUUCUGAGAGGAAGGUCCCCCACAUUGGUACUGAGACACGGACCAAACUCCUACGGGAGGCAGCAGUGAGGAAUAUUGGUCAAUGGCCGAGAGGCUGAACCAGCCAAGUCGCGUGAAGGAAGAAGGAUCUAUGGUUUGUAAACUUCUUUUAUAGGGGAAUAAAGUGGAGGACGUGUCCUUUUUUGUAUGUACCCUAUGAAUAAGCAUUGGCUAACUCCGUGCCAGCAGCCGCGGUAAUACGGAGGAUGCGAGCGUUAUCCGGAUUUAUUGGGUUUAAAGGGUGCGUAGGUGGUGAUUUAAGUCAGCGGUGAAAGUUUGUGGCUCAACCAUAAAAUUGCCGUUGAAACUGGGUUACUUGAGUGUGUUUGAGGUAGGCGGAAUGCGUGGUGUAGCGGUGAAAUGCAUAGAUAUCACGCAGAACUCCGAUUGCGAAGGCAGCUUACUAAACCAUAACUGACACUGAAGCACGAAAGCGUGGGGAUCAAACAGGAUUAGAUACCCUGGUAGUCCACGCAGUAAACGAGGAUUACUAGGAGUUUGCGAUACAAUGUAAGCUCUACAGCGAAAGCGUUAAGUAAUCCACCUGGGGAGUACGCCGGCAACGGUGAAACUCAAAGGAAUUGACGGGGGCCCGCACAAGCGGAGGAACAUGUGGUUUAAUUCGAUGAUACGCGAGGAACCUUACCCGGGUUUGAACGUAGUCUGACCGGAGUGGAAACACUCUUUCUAGCAAUAGCAGAUUACGAGGUGCUGCAUGGUUGUCGUCAGCUCGUGCCGUGAGGUGUCGGCUUAAGUGCCAUAACGAGCGCAACCCUUAUCACUAGUUACUAACAGGUGAAGCUGAGGACUCUGGUGAGACUGCCAGCGUAAGCUGUGAGGAAGGUGGGGAGGACGUCAAAUCAGCACGGCCCUUACAUCCGGGGCGACACACGUGUUACAAUGGCAUGGACAAAGGGCAGCUACCUGGUGACAGGAUGCUAAUCUCCAAACCAUGUCUCAGUUCGGAUCGGAGUCUGCAACUCGACUCCGUGAAGCUGAUUCGCUAGUAAUCGCGCAUCAGCCAUGGCGCGGUGAAUAAGUUCCCGGGCCUUGCACU
RNAcentral lists this ribosomal RNA (1205 nucleotides) under uncultured bacterium. Its description in RNAcentral is "bacterial SSU rRNA". It matches the Rfam family "Bacterial small subunit ribosomal RNA", at positions 180 to 1387 of the family's 1533-position model. The record is from RNAcentral.